AAUUAAUUCUCAUAUUAAUUUAGCUAUUAUUUUCUAAAUUAACAAAAAUAUUUCAUUAAUUAUAAAUUUCAAUAUUAAUUAAACUAAAUUAUUUUUAAGUUUUGAUUAAUUAUUAUAAUUAUCACCAAUAAUAAUCAAAUAUUACUAAACAAUCACAUAUAAUAGUAUUUUGAAUUAUUGGUAAAAAUAUUUAUUUUAUUAACAAUAAUUAAUUAUUAUUUAGAAAAUUUAUGAUUAAUUGGUAAUAAUAGAAUUAUCUAUAUUAAUUAAUACAAAAUAAUUAUAACUAUAAUAAGAAUAUU
This 302-nucleotide long non-coding RNA is filed under the name Ananas comosus (pineapple). RNAcentral describes it as "long non-coding RNA (ACOM_LNC005039)". Lineage: Eukaryota; Viridiplantae; Streptophyta; Magnoliopsida; Poales; Bromeliaceae. The record is from RNAcentral.